GACGAACGCUGGCGGCGUGCUUAACACAUGCAAGUCGAGCGGUAAGGCCCUUUCGGGGGUACGACGAGCGGCGAACGGGUGAGUAACACGUGGGUGACCUGCCCUCCAGCUCUGGGAUAAGCCUGGGAAACCGGGGUCUAAUACUGGAUAUGACUCCAUGACGCAUGUUGUGGGGUGGAAAGCCUUGUGCGGCUGAGGAUGGGCCCGCGGCCUAUCAGCUUGUUGGGGGGGUGAU
Molecule: ribosomal RNA, 235 nt
Filed under: uncultured bacterium
Lineage: Bacteria
Description: partial 16S ribosomal RNA
Rfam family: Bacterial small subunit ribosomal RNA
Source: RNAcentral